GUCCCUACGGGACGCAGCAGUGAGGAAUAUUGGUCAAUGGGCGCGAGCCUGAACCAGCCAAGUCGCGUGAGGGAUGACGGUCCUACGGAUUGUAAACCUCUUUUGCCGGGGAGCAAGCGUGCGUUCGUGAACGCACGUCGAGAGUACCCGGAGAAAAAGCAUCGGCUAACUCCGUGCCAGCAGCCGCGGUAAUACGGAGGAUGCGAGCGUUAUCCGGAUUUAUUGGGUUUAAAGGGUGCGUAGGCGGGAUGCCAAGUCAGCUGUGAAAGUCCGCGGCUCAACCGUGGAAUUGCAGUUGAAACUGG
RNAcentral lists this ribosomal RNA (305 nucleotides) under uncultured bacterium. RNAcentral's name for it is "bacterial SSU rRNA". It matches the Rfam family "Bacterial small subunit ribosomal RNA", at positions 335 to 636 of the family's 1533-position model. The record is from RNAcentral.